GAGUUUGAUCCUGGCUCAGGAUGAACGCUGGCGGCGUGCUUAACACAUGCAAGUCGAGCGAUGAAGUUUCCUUAGGGAAAUGGAUUAGCGGCGGACGGGUGAGUAACACGUGGGUAACCUGCCUCAUAGAGUGGAAUAGCCUUCCGAAAGGGAGAUUAAUACCGCAUAACGUUGAAAGAUGGCAUCAUCAUUCAACCAAAGGAGCAAUCCGCUAUGAGAUGGACCCGCGGCGCAUUAGCUAGUUGGUGGGGUAACGGCCUACCAAGGCGACGAUGCGUAGCCGACCUGAGAGGGUGAUCGGCCACAUUGGGACUGAGACACGGCCCAGACUCCUACGGGAGGCAGCAGUGGGGAAUAUUGCACAAUGGGGGAAACCCUGAUGCAGCAACGCCGCGUGAGUGAUGAAGGUUUUCGGAUCGUAAAGCUCUGUCUUUGGGGAAGAUAAUGACGGUACCCAAGGAGGAAGCCACGGCUAACUACGUGCCAGCAGCCGCGGUAAUACGUAGGUGGCGAGCGUUAUCCGGAUUUACUGGGCGUAAAGGGAGCGUAGGCGGAUGAUUAAGUGGGAUGUGAAAUACCCGGGCUCAACUUGGGUGCUGCAUUCCAAACUGGUUAUCUAGAGUGCAGGAGAGGAGAGUGGAAUUCCUAGUGUAGCGGUGAAAUGCGUAGA
RNAcentral lists this ribosomal RNA (670 nucleotides) under uncultured bacterium. RNAcentral's name for it is "bacterial SSU rRNA". It matches the Rfam family "Bacterial small subunit ribosomal RNA", at positions 9 to 694 of the family's 1533-position model. The record is from RNAcentral.